AACGAACGCUGGCGGCAUGCCUAACACAUGCAAGUCGAACGAGACCUUCGGGUCUAGUGGCGCACGGGUGCGUAACGCGUGGGAACCUGCCCUUAGGUUCGGAAUAACUCCCCGAAAGGGGUGCUAAUACCGGAUAAUGUCUUCGGACCAAAGAUUUAUCGCCUUUGGAUGGGCCCGCGUUGGAUUAGCUAGUUGGUAGGGUAAAAGCCUACCAAGGCGACGAUCCAUAGCUGGUCUGAGAGGAUGAUCAGCCACACUGGGACUGAGACACGGCCCAGACUCCUACGGGAGGCAGCAGUGGGGAGUAUUGGACAAGGGGCGAAAGCCUGAUCCAGCAAUGCCGCGUGAGUGAUGAAGGCCUUAGGGUUGUAAAGCUCUUUUACCCGGGAUGAUAAUGACAGUACCGGGAGAAUAAGCGCCGGCUAACUCCGUG
This 433-nucleotide ribosomal RNA is filed under the name uncultured bacterium. RNAcentral's name for it is "partial 16S ribosomal RNA". It matches the Rfam family "Bacterial small subunit ribosomal RNA", at positions 29 to 507 of the family's 1533-position model. The record is from RNAcentral.